RNAcentral lists this long non-coding RNA (691 nucleotides) under Drosophila guanche. The record is from RNAcentral. Lineage: Eukaryota; Metazoa; Arthropoda; Insecta; Diptera; Drosophilidae.
GUUUAAGAUAUUGUUCAUUAAAAUCUAAGAAGAUUCAGCUGAUAAAAAAUGGUCACAAGUGGACAACAAGGGACAAAGGUGCAUUGGAUGUGUAACCGAAUCCUGUAGGUUUGUACUACCUCAACUAACGUACAUGACUGCGUACAUGGGCAGGGCCUUUCAAAUCAGAAUCAAUAUCGGACUAACGAGAAAGACAAACUUUCGGCUCUUGUGUUGUGUGCCUACCUUUUGUCAAGUCAUUCCAAGACUCUGGCCCGAGUCGAGCCUGUGCUGGAGCACUUAGCAAUAUUGAAUUGCAAAGGGAAUCGAAUCGAAGUGGUUAGAGCGCCAAAUGCCUUUCCAAAUCCUGUGGCUUCGCAGGGGGCUGGUGGGGGGGAGUGUGUGACGAUUUCGAGCUGAGUCCUGCUGCUUAAAUGUAAUUAAAUUCGUUCUACUACCCAACCCCUGCUGUUUCUUAUCAAAUGGAUUGAUUUAUGAUGAUGUCUCCACUCUCUCUCUCCGGCUGACGAGGCAUGACAUAAUAAAUCGUUGGGUGCCGGGCAGGUGCUUCCACGAUGACAACACUCACACGGGCUGAUGGGAGCUGGAAUUGUGCCCAGAUUUGAGAACUUGAAAAUUAAUUUGCGAACAACUUUUGCCUGCUCAAAUCUGGCCCCUGCCUGACUCCUGAAUGCUGACUGCUCUAUGUGCC